This 448-nucleotide ribosomal RNA is filed under the name uncultured bacterium. RNAcentral's name for it is "bacterial SSU rRNA". It matches the Rfam family "Bacterial small subunit ribosomal RNA", at positions 330 to 795 of the family's 1533-position model. The record is from RNAcentral.
UCCAGACUCCUACGGGAGGCAGCAGUGGGGAAUAUUGCACAAUGGGGGAAACCCUGAUGCAGCGACGCCGCGUGAGUGAAGAAGUAAUUCGUUAUGUAAAGCUCUAUCAGCAGGGAAGAAAAUGACGGUACCUGAGUAUGAAGCCCCGGCUAACUACGUGCCAGCAGCCGCGGUAAUACGUAGGGGGCAAGCGUUAUCCGGAUUUACUGGGUGUAAAGGGAGCGUAGACGGCAGUGCAAGUCUGGAGUGAAAGGCGGGGGCGCAACCCCCGGACUGCUCUGGAAACUGUACGGCUGGAGUGCAGGAGAGGUAAGUGGAAUUCCUAGUGUAGCGGUGAAAUGCGUAGAUAUUAGGAGGAAUACUCAUUGCGAAGGCGACCUGCUAGAACAUAACUGACGCUGAUGCGCGAAAGCGUGGGGAGCAAACAGGAUUAGAUACCCCGGUAGUA